Molecule: long non-coding RNA, 1056 nt
Filed under: Zea mays
Lineage: Eukaryota; Viridiplantae; Streptophyta; Magnoliopsida; Poales; Poaceae
Description: long non-coding RNA (ZMAY_LNC003089)
Source: RNAcentral
GGAUUUGACCAUAUCCAGCACUACCCAUGUCGUUGUCGUUCGCCUUCGUGCUGUGAGCGAUAGCAUCGUCAUUUCCUUCAUGUGCUCACCCUCGAUCUCCGCCUUGCCAUCACCCUUGAUCACAGCACUGUGUCGACGACUUGCGAUCCUCACUCUCGCGCUCACGCUUUGUCGAAUGUCACUCUAGUACUCGUCAGAAGAAGAGCUUCAACAGUUGAUUACUGAAGAAAAGAAGAACCCUGGGUGACAUCUACCUAGUACUCGACGGAAAUUCUGAAGUACAAUUUAUCACCGUGUCCAUGGAAGUGGAGCGACUUAAUAUUGGUAAGCGAACUCGUUACUUCGGAUAGUUGGAAUGGUAAUUUGAUUGGCUAGAUUUAUUAAUCGUAAUAAUCCUCGUGUUGGCACAGGCGCGUUGUGGUAGUGUUAAAUAUGUGUGAAAUACGAUGGAGUUAGUAAUGCGAAAGGUAGAUUAAAUUAUACGAUAUUCAGGUGAGCUGAUGAUGUAAAAUAUAGGAUUAGUAUUCCUAUCAGCUAGUUGAUAGAUUUUCUAGUGUUAUUAUGUCAAUUUGGUUAAUUGAUAUAGUCGAUACCCUACUUAAUUAGUUAGUUUAUUCUAGGUUUGGUAUUUAGUUCGAUGUCAUGAGGGAUGUGCAAAUUACCUCGUGUAAUUAACAAUGAAUGACAUCGACCUAUCUAAUUAGCGUGGAAUUCAAGAUAAUUGAGAAACACAAUUUAGAAAGUUAGUUAAUAUGCCCCUUUACUCUAAGUUGUCGGUAUUCGAAAAUAGUGAAUAAAAAUUUGACGAGUAAUUUGAUAUUGGGUGUUUUGACAAAAGACUUGUGCUUAGCUUAUUAUUACUUGAUGUUUGAAGUAGAUGCGAUUACGCUAGAAAAGUGUAAUAAUUCGGCGUAGUCGUAUAUCGGUAACUAGUGUUUCCGUAUAAAAUUGUACAAUGCCUCGCCGCUAGGUGUUUAAUUCGCUAUCGCGUAGCACUAUUUAGGUUUGUAAUAUUCUUGUCUAUAUGCAUUCAUGUGCAUAAUGCAUUUCAUUCAG